UACGAAGGGGGCUAGCGCUGCUCGGAAUCACUGGGCGUAAAGCGCACGUAGGCGGAUUGCUAAGUCAGGGGUGAAAUCCUGGAGCUCAACUCCAGAACUGCCUUUGAUACUGGUGAUCUUGAGUCCGGGAGAGGUGAGUGGAAUUCCCAGUGUAGCGGUGAAAUGCGUAGAUAUUGGGAGGAACACCAGUGGCGAAGGCGGCUCACUGGACCGGUUCUGACGCUGAGGCGCGAAAGCGUGGGGAGCAAACGGG
Molecule: ribosomal RNA, 253 nt
Filed under: uncultured bacterium
Lineage: Bacteria
Description: partial 16S ribosomal RNA
Rfam family: Bacterial small subunit ribosomal RNA
Source: RNAcentral